AUACGUAGGGGAGCAAGCGUUGUCCGGAAUUACUGGGUGUAAAGGGAGCGUAGGCGGAAUGGAAAGUUGAAUGUUAAAUACACCGGCUCAACCGGUGACCGCGUUCAAAACUUCCGUUCUUGAGUGAAGUAGAGGCAGGCGGAAUUCCUAGUGUAGCGGUGAAAUGCGUAGAGAUUAGGAAGAACACCAGUGGCGAAGGCGAUUCUCUGGACUGUAACUGACGCUGAGGCUCGAAAGCGUGGGGAGC
Molecule: ribosomal RNA, 247 nt
Filed under: uncultured bacterium
Lineage: Bacteria
Description: partial 16S ribosomal RNA
Rfam family: Bacterial small subunit ribosomal RNA
Source: RNAcentral